CAGUCGCCGCGGUAAUACGAAGGGGGCUAGCGUUGCUCGGAAUGACUGGGCGUAAAGGGCCCGCAGGCGGUUUCUUAAGUCUGAUGUGAAAGCCCCCGGCUCAACCGGGGAGGGUCAUUGGAAACUGGGAAACUUGAGUGCAGAAGAGGAGAGUGGAAUUCCACGUGUAGCGGUGAAAUGCGUAGAGAUGUGGAGGAACACCAGUGGCGAAGGCGACUCUCUGGUCUGUAACUGACGCUGAGGAGCGAAAGCGUGGGGAGCGAACAGGAUUAGAGACCCCCGUAGUCCCUGUCUUUAUACA
RNAcentral lists this ribosomal RNA (301 nucleotides) under uncultured bacterium. RNAcentral describes it as "partial 16S ribosomal RNA". It matches the Rfam family "Bacterial small subunit ribosomal RNA", at positions 509 to 809 of the family's 1533-position model. The record is from RNAcentral.